UACGGAGGGUGCAAGCGUUAUCCGGAUUCACGUUGUUAAAGGGUGCGUAGGUGGGCAGGUAAGUCAGUGGUGAAAUCUCCUGGGCUUAACCCGGAACUGCCGUUGAUACUAUCUGUCUUGAAUAUAGUGGAGGUGAGCGGAAUAUGUCAUGUAGCGGUGAAAUGCUUAGAUAAUGACAUAGAACAUCGAUUGCGAAGGCAGCUCGCUACACUAUGAUUGACACUGAGGCACGAAAGCGUGGGGAUCAAACAGG
RNAcentral lists this ribosomal RNA (253 nucleotides) under uncultured bacterium. RNAcentral's name for it is "partial 16S ribosomal RNA". It matches the Rfam family "Bacterial small subunit ribosomal RNA", at positions 524 to 776 of the family's 1533-position model. The record is from RNAcentral.